GAUGAAGAACGCAGCGAAAUGCGAUAAGUAAUGUGAAUUGCAGAAUUCAGUGAAUCAUCGAAUCUUUGAACGCACAUUGCGCCCCCUGGCAUUCCGGGGGGCAUGCCUGUUCGAGCGUCAUUACAACCCUCAAGCUCUGCUUGGUAUUGGGCUCUGCUGGGACCGGCAGGCCUUAAAAUCAGUGGCGGCGCCACUCGGUUUCAAGCGUAGUAAUUCUUCUCGCUUCGGAGACCCGGGUGCGUGCUAGCCAGCAACCCCCAACUUUCUUAGGUUGACCUCGGAUCAGGUAGGGAUACCCGCUGAACUUAAGCAUAUCAAUAAGCGGAGGA
RNAcentral lists this unclassified non-coding RNA (329 nucleotides) under soil metagenome. Its description in RNAcentral is "partial contains 5.8S ribosomal RNA, internal transcribed spacer 2, and large subunit ribosomal RNA". The stretch from base 1 to 120 matches the Rfam family "5.8S ribosomal RNA", at positions 35 to 154 of the family's 154-position model. The record is from RNAcentral.